UGGGGAAUUUUGCACAAUGGGGGAAACCCUGAUGCAGCGACGCCGCGUGAUUUAGAAGGCCUUCGGGUUGUAAAAAUCUUUUGUAUGGGAAGAAAAUGACAGUACCAUACGAAUAAGGACCGGCUAAUUACGUGCCAGCAGCCGCGGUAAUACGUAUGUUGCGAGCGUUAUCCGGAAUUAUUGGGCUUAAAGGGCAUCUAGGCGGUAAGACAAGUUGAAGGUGAAAACCUGUGGCUCAACCAUAGGCUUGCCUACAAAACUGUUGAACUAGAGUACUGGAAAGGUGGGUGGAACUACACGAGUAGAGGUGAAAUUCGUAGAUAUGUGUAGGAAUGCCGAUGAUGAAGAUAACUCACUGGACAGAAACUGACGCUGAAGUGCGAAAGCUAGGGGAGCAAACAGG
RNAcentral lists this ribosomal RNA (403 nucleotides) under Verrucomicrobiota bacterium. RNAcentral's name for it is "Verrucomicrobia bacterium partial 16S ribosomal RNA". It matches the Rfam family "Bacterial small subunit ribosomal RNA", at positions 355 to 776 of the family's 1533-position model. The record is from RNAcentral. Lineage: Bacteria; Pseudomonadati; Verrucomicrobiota.